UUGACCUCGGAUCAGGUAGGGAUACCCGCUGAACUUAAGCAUAUCAAUAAGCGGAGGAAAAGAAACCAACAGGGAUUGCCUCAGUAACGGCGAGUGAAGCGGCAACAGCUCAAAUUUGAAAGCUAGCCUUCGGGUUCGCAUUGUAAUUUGUAGAGGAUGCUUUGGGUAAAACGCCAGUCUAAGUUCCUUGGAACAGGACGUCAUAGAGGGUGAGAAUCCCGUAUGUGACUGGAAAUGUUAACCUAUGUAAAGCUCCUUCGACGAGUCGAGUUGUUUGGGAAUGCAGCUCUAAAUGGGAGGUAAAUUUCUUCUAAAGCUAAAUAUUGGCGAGAGACCGAUAGCGCACAAGUAGAGUGAUCGAAAGAUGAAAAGCACUUUGGAAAGAGAGUUAAAAAGCACGUGAAAUUGUUGAAAGGGAAGCGCUUGCAAUCAGACUUGUUUAAACUGUUCGGCCGGUCUUCUGACCGGUUUACUCAGUUUGGACAGGCCAGCAUCAGUUUCGGCGGCCGGAUAAAGGCUCUGGGAAUGUGGCCUCCACUUCGGUGGAGGUGUUAUAGCCCAGUGUGUAAUACGGCCAGCCGGGACUGAGGUCCGCGCUUCGGCUAG
This 606-nucleotide ribosomal RNA is filed under the name Aureobasidium pullulans. Its description in RNAcentral is "LSU rRNA". It matches the Rfam family "Eukaryotic large subunit ribosomal RNA", at positions 1 to 614 of the family's 3401-position model. The record is from RNAcentral. Lineage: Eukaryota; Fungi; Ascomycota; Dothideomycetes; Dothideales; Saccotheciaceae.